RNAcentral lists this ribosomal RNA (706 nucleotides) under Vibrio sp. HPCAQRKSM55. RNAcentral's name for it is "bacterial SSU rRNA". It matches the Rfam family "Bacterial small subunit ribosomal RNA", at positions 747 to 1451 of the family's 1533-position model. The record is from RNAcentral. Lineage: Bacteria; Pseudomonadati; Pseudomonadota; Gammaproteobacteria; Vibrionales; Vibrionaceae.
UCAGAUGCGAAAGCGUGGGGAGCAAAACAGGAUUAGAUACCCUGGUAGUCCACGCCGUAAAACGAUGUCUACUUGGAGGUUGUGGCCUUGAGCCGUGGCUUUCGGAGCUAACGCGUUAAGUAGACCGCCUGGGGAGUACGGUCGCAAGAUUAAAACUCAAAUGAAUUGACGGGGGCCCGCACAAGCGGUGGAGCAUGUGGUUUAAUUCGAUGCAACGCGAAGAACCUUACCUACUCUUGACAUCCAGAGAAGCCAGCGGAGACGCAGGUGUGCCUUCGGGAGCUCUGAGACAGGUGCUGCAUGGCUGUCGUCAGCUCGUGUUGUGAAAUGUUGGGUUAAGUCCCGCAACGAGCGCAACCCUUAUCCUUGUUUGCCAGCACUUCGGGUGGGAACUCCAGGGAGACUGCCGGUGAUAAACCGGAGGAAGGUGGGGACGACGUCAAGUCAUCAUGGCCCUUACGAGUAGGGCUACACACGUGCUACAAUGGCGCAUACAGAGGGCAGCGAACUUGCGAAAGUAAGCGAAUCCCAAAAAGUGCGUCGUAGUCCGGAUUGGAGUCUGCAACUCGACUCCAUGAAGUCGGAAUCGCUAGUAAUCGUAGAUCAGAAUGCUACGGUGAAUACGUUCCCGGGCCUUGUACACACCGCCCGUCACACCAUGGGAGUGGGCUGCAAAAGAAGUAGGUAGUUUAACCUUCGGGAGGAC